ACUGGGUGUGGUGGCACAUGCCUGUAAUCCUAGCGACUUCGGAGGCUGAGGCCAGAGGAUUGCAAGUUUGAGGUCAGCCUCAGCAACUUAGCAAGACCCUGUCUCAA
This 107-nucleotide small RNA is filed under the name Marmota monax (woodchuck). Lineage: Eukaryota; Metazoa; Chordata; Mammalia; Rodentia; Sciuridae. The record is from RNAcentral.